Molecule: RNA transcript, 1227 nt
Organism: Cajanus cajan (pigeon pea)
Lineage: Eukaryota; Viridiplantae; Streptophyta; Magnoliopsida; Fabales; Fabaceae
Source: RefSeq, a predicted model, not a curated record
ACUGAUUUUAUGUAGACAAUUACGGUCAAAAACGUUGCACCUUCCAUGCCUUUCUCUAUUAAGCCUUCAUUUUUCUUGUGAAUUGCCUUUGUACGUACAUGCUUCUUAUUGCCUUCCACACAACAUUAUAAAACAUAGUUAAGGAAAUUAACAUAGCUAGAUGCAAAGAUGGGUUUUCCAAAGGAGGAGAAAUCGAAAAGGAUAUUGAGGGGUGUGAAGAUUGUGUUCUUCUUGAUCACCAUGGUUAUGUCAUUUCUUCUAUUCUCCGCUCCAAUUCUCUUGGUUAUUGCUGAUGCAGUUGUUCCUUCUGCUAUUCUCUCAGCCUCUUCCACCUCUUCUCUCUUGUCCCAUUUUGAGAACUACGACUUUGGAUGCUCUCUAAUUGACAUACCCCUAGUAUCCAUCAUACGGUCCCUAGUCAUAUUUUGUGUUUAUAGUUUUUGUGAUGGGCCAAGGCUUUCACAUGGGCCUUAUUUGGGGGUUACCACGGUGUGCUCGGUGAUGUCGCUAAUGUUUGUUUGCUUGAAAGGUGUUUAUGUGUUUGGGUACGAGAGAGGGACAAGGUACGAUGAAAUAGCUCUGUUUGUGUGGUCUUGUUGUUUGGCGGUGGGGCAUGUCGUCGUUGCCUAUAGAACAAGUUGCAAAGAAAGAAGGAAGCUUCUUGUUUACAAGAUUGACAUCGAAGCUAUUUCAGCCUGCAAGAAUGGGUAUCCUAGGUAUCCGAAGAUUCUUCAAGAAGAAAGAGUCAAAUGAACCCACUCUAUAUUAUAUCAAUCUAACAGAUAUUUUCUGCCAUCAACUUCAGACAACUAUUCAUUUUUUCCUCAUCGAACUUAGUGAUUCAAUGGCUGUCAUUUGAUUCGAUUUUUAGUGAGUAACAUAAAGAAUGCUCAGAAGAUAUGGAAACUUUUGGCUAAGGUGUGUAUAGAAAAAUACCCCCCUUAUAUGGAUGUCAGUAAUUCGAAAGAUUAUUCCUUAACUUUUUCCUAAGAUAUAUCUUGGUUUAUCAAAAAAAAAAAAAUGAAAACUCUGGACAAAGAUUAUUCAGUUACUAAAUUUCCAUAAUUUGACGUUGAAGUUUAAAUUUAUGAUCAUACAAAGUACUUACAACCAACAGCACUCUCCUGGUUGCUUGGGUGUCCCUGAUUUUAAGCAAUUCUGCUUACUUGAUUCUGUUAAAAUGAUUCCUAAGAUACUCUGUCUCUGUAUACAUUCUUAUUCUUUCCU